CACGUAGGCGGAUUAGUAAGUUAGGGGUGAAAUCCCGGGGCUCAACCUCGGAACUGCCCUUGAUACUGCUAGUCUAGAGUCCGAGAGAGGUGAGUGGAAUUCCUAGUGUAGAGGUGAAAUUCGUAGAUAUUAGGAAGAACACCAGUGGCGAAGGCGGCUCACUGGCUCGGUACUGACGCUGAGGUGCGAAAGCGUGGGGAGCAAACA
RNAcentral lists this ribosomal RNA (207 nucleotides) under uncultured bacterium. RNAcentral's name for it is "partial 16S ribosomal RNA". It matches the Rfam family "Bacterial small subunit ribosomal RNA", at positions 568 to 774 of the family's 1533-position model. The record is from RNAcentral.